RNAcentral lists this transfer RNA (67 nucleotides) under Marmota monax (woodchuck). RNAcentral describes it as "tRNA.Met". Lineage: Eukaryota; Metazoa; Chordata; Mammalia; Rodentia; Sciuridae. The record is from RNAcentral.
GGAUUGUGGCUCAGUGGUAGAGCGCUCGCCUCAUAUGAGCGGGACCCGGGUUUGAUCCUCAGCACCA